CUCCCUGUCGUGUCCCCUCGUCUCACGUGUCACGGGUGUCUGGGGGUAUUCGGUCCGGAACUGCUCUGCCCUGCCGCCCGGCCCCGUUGCAGGUGUUCAAGGACAAGUCCCGGGCACUUGUAAUUGGAGACUCGUAAUACGGGCUGUAGUUGGAGUCUAGAUGCGGAUGGAUCGACCUCCUGGCAGAGCGCCUCGUCCCAGAUGAGGGGAUCCCCCUGAGAAGGAAGUAAAGCCGGAUAGCAGCAGUGAAGGUGAAGCAUUGUGAAGGUGGUCUACUUGCAAGAUAUCCCAGCCCAGGAUGCCAGAGGACAGGUGGGUGCAAGCUCUAAGUGUGUUUUGGUGUUUAAGUCCCUGGUUUGCUGAUAAUGUUUAGUUCUCUCAGAUAGAAUGAAAGAACCAUAUCAUGAAUCCCACCUUGUGGAUCCUGACACGAAUCGGUGUCACGGACAGGAUUCUGAGAGACAGAAGGGGUUGCAGAUUUGUCGUGCACUCAGUAUCGGGGGAAAGACGUUUCGCCUCAGCCCCCCUAGCCUGCCAUGCCGGUGAGCAGUGUCUAGAAAGCAAGGGAGGCGAUUCGAAUUUCUCAAAAACUGCACACGCUUCGGUGCAAAGCACCCCACACUCAUUUGAGGGCUCUGUCUUCAGAAUUUUACAAGGGAUAUUUGAAUGCAAGAGUUUAGACUGACUGAUUUUUCUGUUUAAAGUACUUGUUUGCUGAUAAUGUUUAGUUCUCUAAGAUAGAAUGAAGGAACCACAUGACAAAUCCCACCUCGUGGAUCCUGACACGAAUCGGUGUCACGGACAGGAUUCUGAGAGACAGAAGGGGUUGCAGAUUUGUUGUGCGCUCAG
This is a long non-coding RNA of Poecile atricapillus (Black-capped chickadee), 849 nucleotides long. RefSeq lists it as uncharacterized. The transcript has 4 exons. NCBI's taxonomy places the organism in Eukaryota, Metazoa, Chordata, Aves, Passeriformes, Paridae. The record is from RefSeq and is a predicted model, not a curated record.